GGCGGACGUAGCCAAGUGGAUCAAGGCAAUGGAU
Molecule: transfer RNA, 34 nt
Filed under: Asplenium shuttleworthianum
Lineage: Eukaryota; Viridiplantae; Streptophyta; Polypodiopsida; Polypodiales; Aspleniaceae
Description: partial tRNA-His
Source: RNAcentral